GCACGGGUGCGUAACGCGUGGGAAUCUGCCCUUGGGUUCGGAAUAACAGUGAGAAAUUACUGCUAAUACCGGAUGAUGUCUUCGGACCAAAGAUUUAUCGCCCAAGGAUGAGCCCGCGUAGGAUUAGCUAGUUGGUGGGGUAAUGGCCUACCAAGGCGACGAUCCUUAGCUGGUCUGAGAGGAUGAUCACCCACACUGGGACUGAGACACGGCCCAGACUCCUACGGGAGGCAGCAGUGGGGAAUAUUGGACAAUGGGCGAAAGCCUGAUCCAGCAAUGCCGCGUGAGUGAUGAAGGCCUUAGGGUUGUAAAGCUCUUUUACCCGGGAUGAUAAUGACAGUACCGGGAGAAUAA
Molecule: ribosomal RNA, 354 nt
Filed under: Novosphingobium sp. RM6
Lineage: Bacteria; Pseudomonadati; Pseudomonadota; Alphaproteobacteria; Sphingomonadales; Sphingomonadaceae
Description: bacterial SSU rRNA
Rfam family: Bacterial small subunit ribosomal RNA
Source: RNAcentral